Molecule: ribosomal RNA, 250 nt
Filed under: uncultured bacterium
Lineage: Bacteria
Description: partial 16S ribosomal RNA
Rfam family: Bacterial small subunit ribosomal RNA
Source: RNAcentral
CACCUACGGGACGCAGCAGUAGGGAAUGUGCUAAAAUGGAAGAAAGUCUGAUGGAGCAACGCCGCGUGAGUGAAGAAGGGUUUCGGCUCGUAAAUCUCUGGUGGUAGUGAAGAAAGAUAGAGGUAGUAACUGGCCUUUAUUUGACGGUAAUUACUUAGAAAGUCACGGCUAACUACGUGCCAGCAGCCGCGGUAAUACGUAGGUGGCAAGCGUUGUCCGGAUUUAUUGGGCGUAAAGCGAGUGCAGGCGG